UACAGAGGGGGCAAGCGUUGUCCGGAUUUACUGGGCGUACAGCGCGCGCAGGCGGUUGCGUAUGUGAGCGGUGACAUCCGCGGGCUCAACCCGCGGCGGCCCGCUUACACAGCGCGACUGGAGGCAGGGAGAGGGAUGUGGAAUACCCGGUGGAGCGGUGAAAUGCGUAGAGAUCGGGUGGAACACCAGCGGCGAAGGCGGCAUCCUGGCCCUGUACUGACGCUGAGGCGCGAUAGCGUGGGGAGCGAACAGG
Molecule: ribosomal RNA, 253 nt
Filed under: uncultured bacterium
Lineage: Bacteria
Description: partial 16S ribosomal RNA
Rfam family: Bacterial small subunit ribosomal RNA
Source: RNAcentral